This 17889-nucleotide long non-coding RNA is filed under the name Manihot esculenta (cassava). Its description in RNAcentral is "long non-coding RNA (MESC_LNC006160)". The record is from RNAcentral. Lineage: Eukaryota; Viridiplantae; Streptophyta; Magnoliopsida; Malpighiales; Euphorbiaceae.
CGGAGCCGCCGUUGGGAACCCCGCUGACGUGGCUAUGGUCCGAAUGCAGGCUGAUGGACGUCUCCCAAUUGACCAACGUCGCAACUACAAGAGUGUGUUUGAUGCUCUAACUCAAAUGUCAAAGCAAGAAGGAAUUGCUAGCCUCUGGCGUGGCUCAAGUCUUACAGUGAACCGUGCAAUGAUCGUCACUGCAUCACAGCUCGCAACCUAUGAUCAGAUCAAGGAGAUGAUAUUGGAGAAGGGUGUGAUGAGUGAUGGAAUAGGGACCCAUGUGACGGCGAGCUUCGCAGCUGGGUUUGUGGCAUCGGUGGCUUCAAACCCUAUAGAUGUGAUAAAGACUAGGGUUAUGAACAUGAAGGUGGAGACAGGGGGGGAGCCGCCAUACAAGGGUGCAUUAGACUGUGCAAUGAAGACAGUGAAGGCGGAGGGUCCAAUGGCUUUGUAUAAGGGAUUUAUCCCUACAAUCUCAAGGCAAGGACCUUUCACUGUGGUGCUGUUUGUCACGCUAGAGCAGGUCAGGAAGCUGCUCAAAGAUUUCUAAUUCAAGUGAUGGUGAUCGAUGAGGGAAAUCAAAAUGCCAUAUAUAGAUAGAAAUAUGUGAAUUUUUCAGCUUCACUAUCGGGAGAAUUAUUCUUUAAUUCUUUUUGUUAGAAUUUGGAAAGGCCACUAUUAUUCCAUUACUGUAAAGAAGAAUUGAAUUUUUGAUAUAAAUUAAUUAUUACUUGAUCUCACAUUUCCAUUUGUCUAUCUUCAUAUAUAAUUGCAGAAUUCACCGCAAAUGUAAAAAAAUUCAAUUAAUCAAGGUGUUGUUCUCCUAAUGGCAUGGCUCACAGUCACAAAAUUAAAAAGAGAUUAAACCCAUCAAAAUACAUAAUCACAUCAAUAUAGAAUGCUUGUAUGAAUAUUGCUGGAGUUUUGACCUUCUUGAGUUUUGACAUCCUGCAGCUGCAUUAUAAGAGUAACAAUCACUUUUAUUUUUUUUGACAAUAACCUUACCAUAAAUUACAAGUAAAUAUUUUAUACUUCGUCCUUUUCUUUGAUACUGGUUUUUCUACGGCCACCCUUGUCUUUUCAAGAAGGGUUGACUUCUGUCACCUUGUUAUAUGUUUUUAAAUUUUUUUUAUUAUUAUUGUUUUACAUGUUGUGCUUCUUCAGUUUUUUCAUGCCUUAUUGUUGACAGAUUUAAGAGAGGAUUAACUUUUUGGGAAUGGUGAAACUCUUGGAGUCGUAUUCCGAACAUGAAUAAUGCAAUCAGUAACCCUCAAGGCCUUGGGUGCCAUAGAACUCUGGCUACUGCCCUUAGUUGGUUUGAAGCUUCGAUGCUUCUGGCCUUCAAUCAGUCUGUGCUUUAGUUUUAUUGGUUCUGGCUGUUGCCCUCAGUUGAUUUGAAGCUUCGACUUUGGUCUGGCCUUCAAUCAAUCUUUGCUUCAGUUUUAUUAGUUUUCUUGAUAAGACGCUCCAUGGCUCUUUCUACAAGUUGCAUUUGUUGUCGGGUCUCUCAACUUUUUAAGUUUUAAGGAUUUGAUGACCUUUUAGGUUUUAAGAAACCUUAUUUUAUUUUCUAUUAAAAACUACGGUUUUAAAUGAGUUGGAUUAAAAUUUUAAUUUUAAUUUUUUUCUUUAUAUUAUUAUAAAUGAUUAAAACGUAAAUACGAAUAUAAUUCAAUCAUUUGUAGUUAGAGAUUAGAAAAAAAUCUCCUCAGAUUCAAUAUGAAAACAUUUAGAGUACAUGUAUUACGCUCAAUUCAUAGAGAUUUAGAAAGCUGCUCUUAGAAUUUCAAGCUUUUACUUGAGCAGUAUAAAUUGAUAGUUUUUUAGGGACCAUUUUAAAAUUUCUAUCCAUAAAUUUUCUUUAAAAACAAAGUGACGUGCAAAGCGCACUAAUAUAUUUUAAAAUUUAAGCAAUGAUAUCUUUACGGUCAUAGUAAAAUUAUUAUUUUAAUAUUAUUAAGAUAACAGUUUGAUAAUAAUUUAAAAAUAUUUAAAAAAUUUAUUUUUUUAUUAUAUUUAAUAAUAAAUUUUAAUAAAAAAUUAUUUUAUAUUUAAUAAAAUCAUAAUUUUUACUAUAUUUUAUAUUUACAGUAAAAAAAUAUGUUUAAAGCUGAUUUAUAUUUAAUAGUGAUAUAUUUCAAAUUGUUGUUAUUAAUUUAUAAUUAUAUUUAAAAUAUACAAUAUUACUAUUUUAAAUUUAUUUUUAUAGUAGUGGUUUUUUUGCAUACUCCACCUUCCUCUACUAUUUAUAAAAAUUUAUAAAAAAUAAUAUAUAUUUAAAAAAAUAGAGUAAAAAAUUAAUGAAUCACUGUACAUGAUACAUUUAUAGAAAAUAUUUCUCUAAAACUGUUUCAUGUAGACUGAAUAUAAUAAUUACAGUGGAAUUUUUCCGAUAUUAUAAAGUUUUGAUUUCAAAAUCUGUCACAUCAAGUCAACGGUUUAAUUAUUAGUAACGUUGAUAAAAAAAAAAGUAUUAAUAACUGAAUUUUUUUAGAAGUUAUUAAUAACUGAAAAAUACUUAAUCUCAUAAUAUAACAUAUGAUUAAUCACAACUGCCCAUACGAUCAUCAAGGUAAAGGAGGGCAGACGAAAAAUAAAAAAUUAAAAAAGAAGAAUGGGUCAGUCAGUGGAACCCACUAACAUGUGAGUGAGCCAUAUGGUUGUUACACAGUUGGCCAGUUCAACAGUUCAAACUAGGAAGACCAAGAAUGGUCACAGACAACAGCACCAAUAGCGCAGAUAUAUAGAGUCAAAUGCAAUACCGUGUAUAAUUGAUCAGUCGAAUAGCACAAAGAAUUUUCUUCGAAUUUUCUCCAUAUAGAUAACGUGUGGACCAUCCUACACUCCCUCUCGGCCUCUCUAUAUAAACGCCUAAUUCUCUGCUCACUCUUCAUCUUCAUCACCAUUUCUAUUGUCUGCCUCUUCACUUCACUCAGCUUCUCUCUCGCUGAUCAGUUUUGAUUUCUUCAGUUUUCGAUCCAUAAUUAAUAAUGGGUUUGAAGGGUUUUGUUGAAGGUGGUAUUGCCUCCAUCGUCGCUGGUGCCUCCACCCAUCCUCUUGAUCUCAUCAAGGUUCGCAUGCAACUUCAAGGUGAAUCCCACCUCCCCAAUCCAGCCUCCCUUCAAGCCCUCCGUCCUGCCAUCGCCUUCAACACGGUUGCUGCUGGUGCCGGCAAUAUUUCACUACCUGUAGAAAUUGCUCCUCCACCUGCUCGUGUUGGACCCAUUUCUAUCGGUGUUCGUAUCAUUCAAUCUGAAGGUGCUGCAGCCCUUUUCUCUGGUGUAUCUGCCACUAUACUUCGCCAGACCUUGUACUCAACCACCCGUAUGGGUCUUUACGAUGUUCUUAAACACAAGUGGACAGAUCAAGACACCGGAACCAUGCCUCUUCCACGCAAGAUUCUUGCCGGCCUUAUCUCCGGCGGUAUCGGAGCCGACGUUGGGAACCCCGCUGACGUGGCUAUGGUCCGAAUGCAGGCUGAUGGACGUCUCCCAAUUGACCAACGUCGCAACUACAAGAGUGUGUUUGAUGCUCUGACUCAAAUGUCAAAGCAAGAAGGAAUUGCUAGCCUCUGGCGUGGCUCAAGUCUAACAGUGAACCGUGCGAUGAUCGUCACUGCAUCACAGCUCGCAUCCUAUGAUCAGAUCAAGGAGAUGAUAUUGGAGAAGGGUGUGAUGAGUGAUGGAAUAGGGACCCAUGUGACGGCGAGCUUCGCAGCUGGGUUUGUGGCAUCGGUGGCUUCAAACCCUAUAGAUGUGAUAAAGACUAGGGUUAUGAACAUGAAGGUGGAGACAGGGGCGGAGCCGCCAUACAAGGGUGCAUUAGACUGUGCAAUGAAGACAGUGAGGGCGGAGGGUCCAAUGGCUUUGUAUAAGGGAUUUAUCCCUACAAUCUCAAGGCAAGGACCUUUCACUGUGGUGCUGUUUGUCACGCUAGAGCAGGUCAGGAAACUGCUCAAAGAUUUCUAACUCAUGUGAUGAUGAUCGAUGAGGAAAAUCAAACGCCAUUACAUAUAGCUAGAAAGCUGUGAAUUUUUCAGCUUCAUUGCUGAGAAUUAUUCUUUAAUUUUUUUAAUGGGACUCUUUGUAUCUGUCAAAUUGCAGUUAAAUUGGCAAUUCCACAGUUUUAGGAAGAUAGAUUCCUGCAUUUAACAUUUUAUUUAUAAAAAAAAAAUUAAAAAUAAUUUUUUUAAAGUAUAUAAAAAAUAAUUAAUAAUUAUAAAAAAAUUAUAUAAAAUGACAGCUAGACAUUUUUUAAAAUAAUUAAUAAUUAAAAUUAUUUUAUUUUUUUAAAAUUAAAUGUAUAUAAAAACAAAAAAUAUAUAUAUUUUAAAGAAAAAUUUUUUAAUAUUUAAAAUAUUCAUUGACUAAUUUUCUAAAUGCCUCAAAUAUUAAAAAAAUAUGAAAAAUAUUUUUAGUUAAAAUAUAAAAAAUAUUUAACUAAAAAUAUUUUGUAUAAAAAAGUAGAGUCUAAAAUAUAUAAUUUUUUUAUAUUUUUUAACAUAUCUACCUUUUAAAAUUUUCAUAAAUAUGAUAUUUUAAAAUCUCAACGUGGUUUUACUAUCAUUAAAAUUUUAAAUUUUUUUAACUCACAAUUUAAUAAAAUAAUUAAUAAAAAUUUCAAAAAUAUAUAAUUUCAUUAAAAUAAUUUUAUGUAAUUUUUUUAAAUAAUUAUUUGUUUAAACAUUUUUUAUUUAAAAAUAAAAAAAAUUUUAAAAUAAUAAAUUAUUAUUUUUAACAAUAAUUUUAAUUAGUAAUUAUUUUUUUUAUAUACUUUAAAAAAAUUAUUUUUAAUUUUUUUUUAAAAAUAUUUUUUUAUAAAAUUGACAUAUUCAAUAAUUAAAGCGUUAAACAUACCGAUUUCCACCGCUAGAUUAUCAAACUGUGCAGUUCCACAGCAUGAGUGAUGAAUAAAAAUUCAAAAUGCCUUGGAAGAUCAAACGUGAAUUUCAAUUUCUUUUUUUUUUCUUGUGCGUGUUUUGAAAAAAAAAUAGCUCUACCAAAGCAGUAAACUCAGCAAGCACAAAGGUACACAGGCCAAGUCGAAUCAUGAAUCCAGCUGCCCAACGACCGCGGCUAUUCCGGAGUAGCCCACCUCCUCCUCCACGACCUGGAUUCCCCUGCAAGCUGCGACGCUCCAUCUGUGUUGAGUUUUAACCACCUAUCUCGCGGUGGAACCCAUGAAACAGCCACCAAAGUUCGUUGUUUUUGCACCUUAUUCAUUCCUUUCCAGACCUUAUAAUUCAUGCAGUAUUCCCUACGUAAAAUGGCUAUCUUUGAAGUUAACGUUAAUAUUUCUCCCUCAAACACAUAAUUAUUUCUCCACUGCCACAAAAACCAUAACGUAAUACAAAGACACUGUACAGCCUGAUACUCACUCCUUUCUCUACAUAUCAGUUCUUCACAAUGUAACCAGUCCUGAAUUCCCAUGUUAUAAAAUUUGGUUAAAGAGUUGGCCUCCCAUACAUUUCCUAGACUUGUCGAGCAGCCCAACAAUAAAGAUAUGUAGGUAACUUUCAUAUAUUUUUUACUUAUAAUUUAAAUUAAUUUUAUAUUUUUAGUAAAUUUAGUAAAUAAAAAUAAAUAUUUAAUAUUUAAUUAUUUUAUUCAUAAAAAUUAAAAAAUUUAAUUUCAUUGACUCAUUGAAGAUGUGAUAUAGUGAUUCUAUCAUAUGAAAGGUAAAUACGUAGAAAAAUUAUAAAUUUUUGUUUAUAAAUAUAUCAUAUUUUUUGUGCUUAAUUUUAAUUUAUUAUAAUUUUAAAAAGUAAAAAGAUAAAUAUUGAAUUUAAAUGUUUAUUUUAUUUAUUAUCAGCAAAUGAGACUUUCUGUAUAUAUUAAUAUUUACUGGGACGGAAAUAUUAUAAGUACGUUUUCAUGGAUAUGAUUAUGGUGGAAGUUUUUCAAAUGUUGUUCUAAUAAGUAAAAGGAUAAGUUUUAAUCAAACAGUAAAAAAAAUUGCAUAUACUAAUAUUUACUGGAACGAAAAUAUUAUAAGUAAUUCUGAUGGAUAUGAUUAUGAUGGAGGUUUUUCAAAGGUUGUUCCAAUAAGUAAAAGGAUAAAUUUUAAUUAAGCAAUCGAAAAAAUUGCAUAUACUAAUAUUUAUUGGGACGAAAAUAUUAUAAGUAGUUUUCAUGGAUAUGAUUAUGAUGGAGGGUUUUCAAAGGUUUUCCAAUAAGUGAAAGGAUAAGUUUUAAUCAAGCAGUCGAAAAAAUUGCUUGUGCAGUUGAAUUAGUCGAGAAUAAUGAAUAUAUAGAGAUAAUUAAUUUUAAAAAACCUAUAAUUUUGGAUGGAUCAUUAAAAUUUAAGUAUAUGGACACUACAAGAAUUUUAAAAAUUACCAACAGAAAUUUCCAUUGGUAAACAUUGAUAUUCCGUUAGUGAAAAAUUUCACUAACGGAUCUGUGACGGAUUCAUUCCGUUGGGAAAAUUCUCGUUGGUAAAUUAUUCACUAACGGAAUUUGUAUCCGUUAGUGACACUAACGAAUCACCAACGGAAAUGUCCGUUGGUGACACUAACGGAAUGCAAUUCCGUUGGUAAUACUAACGGAUUUUGCAUUAGUAAUCCGUUAGUGAAUAAAAAAUGGCGUUGUUUUCCUUUGCAAUGGACAUGGAUCUGUUAGUGACACCAACGGAAAUUCUAUUGGUAAUCCGUUGGUAAAUCAUAAAAUUGCAAAAUCAUCCAUAUAUUUUCAUACAUUAUGUACUUGUACCCUGUACAUUCAUAUACAUCCAUCAUCAUCCAUCAUCAUCCUGGACAUUAAUAAUACUAUAAACGUAAAAAAUCAAAUUACUCAUUAAAAUAUAUUUAAAACUUAAAAAAUUUGUACUACAAUUAUAAUUUGAAAUAAAAAUUAUCAACUGGUCAUAACAAAAGAUACAUACUAAACUAAACUAGCAAACUCAUCAUCUGUAUCAUCAUCAUCACUAUCUGUAUGAUGAUCACCAAUGACAGGGGCAUCAUCAUGCCGCUGCUGUGGAGACGGAGCUGGAGGUGCCCUAGGAGCAGAUGUCUGAGUGGAUGUCCCAAUACUCUGUUGUGCCAUCAUCCUAUGCAUAAACGUCUGCAACUCGUCCAACACUGUGCUAAUUCAACCAUUCUCUGUCUCUAGCCGAUCAAUUUUAUUCUGCAUCUUGUUCAUUGCUUCAAUUGUAGGAGGAUCCACUGGGGGUGCAGACGUGUAUGAAGCGGAACAAUGAGAUGGCUCAUGAAAAUAUGCUAAAGCCUAGGACCCUAAUCUAUAAACUCGACUCUUUUUCUGCCCGCCAACCGCUUCGUAGUACAGUUGGACCUCAUUUAUGGUCGUCGGCUCAUUGCUUCUCUCCUGUUGCUGUGUUGCUACCUCUUUCAGUUGUACGUAUUUAUCCUGCAUUAUAAAUUUCAAGUAACGUAUUAGUAAAACGAUUUAAGUACAUCAAAAUUGUUAAUAACUACAUUUAAUAUUAACUUACAUAAAUAGCUUUUGACCUAGCAUCAACAAACUCUUCUGUCCCUUUUCUCUUAUGUGUGACCUCGAAAACCUCAUGAGGAUGUGGUUCUCUGCCUAGUCUUUCUCUCUGUUACCAAUUAUAAGAAGUAUAGCAAUUAUCAUCGAAAAAAAAUAUUUAUAAGAAGAUAAAUAUAAAAUAAAAAUAUUUACUAAUACCAUCCUCUGCUAAUGGGUAUACUGUGAAACUGAUCCGCAUGCAUGCCUGGAAAUGCCAGAUCCUGACCCUCCAGCCUCAAUGCGCCUAUUGGUAGAAAACUUGUCACACUUCUCUUUGUAUUCAGAAGUGUUCCAAGUUUUCUGCCACUUCCUCAAAAUAGAAUCUGGUGUAGCCAGAUUCUUCGCCUUCCCUUUCCUGAUUUCCCACAUUAAGCCCCUAUAUCUCUCAGCUGCCUUUUUCUGCCAUGCAAUUUUGACCAAGCUUUCAAUUGCUUGGUCCCAUAUGAAGCAUUUCUGCAAAAAGAUUAAAGUAUAUGAUUAGUUAGUAAUUACACAUUUCAUAUUAUAAAUCAAAAUGCUAAAAGAAUUACGCUUCACCUUGAAUUCCUGCCAAUAAAACUCCUUAGUGUCAUUUGGCACUGUCUUCCAACAGUGUCCUUCCGCGAUCAAUCUUUAUUUUAUUAUCAGAGUAAUCCUGCGACUGCACAUCUCCGACGGAUGUAAACUACAUGAACAACGGUGAGUUAGUAUAGGGUAACAUUGAAAUUAAUCAUAAUUAAAAAAUAAUUAACUAUUACUUGUUAUUAAUGAGUGAAAUGGUCUGUCGGAAUGAAUGUGUGCCGCCUACAGCAGUGGUCGAUCCUGCAGAUGCUGGAGCAGAUGAUAGAGUAGAUGCUGAUGCAGAUCCUGACCAUCUAGCUGAUGCAGUAGCAGAAGGAGAUGCAGGUUGAGGUGAAUGUGAAUGUGAUAUCGCAGGUCGUGGAGCUGGAGUGGGAUGGUGAGGAGCUAGAGUGUGACGGUGAGGAGGUGGAAGGGGACGGGGAGGCAAUGCAUCGGUACAUGGUGGAACUGGUGGACCUAAUAGAUCCCUAUGACAUGGUUGUACACUGGAUGCAAGUGGUACCCAUAUUUGAAGCUCCGUAUCCCCAAGUCCCGUUGAUGCCGUGGUAACUACGGCUAAUGCUCUUGUCCGCCAUCUGCAGUCGCCUCCUCUUGACUUGUACUAGCAGGAAGUCGAACCGGUCCUCUGGGCUUCUUAACCCUUCCACAUCCCCUCAUCUGUGAACAAAUAAAAAAUAGUCAAUGCAAAAAAUAAUAUAAAGUUCAUAAACAUUAAAUUAAAAACGUACAAACAUAGUAAGUUACUCACUGAGAAAUAAUGAAAAUAUACAACUCCAAACUGAUUUAUAAUAUAAAUUAAUUUAGUCCGAUUCAUACGAAUCGAACUCAUUAUCACCAUCUGCAUCUACAUCAGAAUUAGGGUCACUAAGAAACUCAUCUUCAUCUGUCGAAACAUCAUCAUGAAUCUCAGUCAUUCCUCCACUAGGAUCAUUCAGGUAGUGUUGUUGAGUAAUAUCAUCCAGAUUUACUUCAGCGUAAUCAAUCUCAUCUUCUUGAAAAGGUUUAUAUGUCUUUGAAGACGUUUCAGAUACUUCAACAACGGGUCUACCUUUAACUUUCAUCACAGCCCACCAAUCAUUUUUGUCACGACGCUUGCUCGGGUAUGAAGCAUAAACGACCUGUGUUGCCUGAGAGGCUAAUACAAAUGGCUCGUACUUACUGUAUCUACGCUUAUUGUUAACAUCGACUAUUCUAUAAUGUCUAUGCACCUUGGUGCCCGUAUUUAGUAUUGGAUCAAACCAAUCAUAUUUGAAAAGUACAGUCCGCUUAAUUGAUAACACUGGAUACUCCAACCGUAACACCUCAACCAACUGUCCAUAGUAGUCACUUUCUUUAAAACUGUAAUUACUCCCUUUUAUACAUACACCAAAAUUCAUUGACUUACUACUUAAAUUUCCAUUGAUUGUGUUGAAUUUAUAUCCAUUAACACAAUACCCAUCAAAAGUUGUGACACUUCUGAGUGGUCCCUUUGAAAGAUCUUGUAUAAGCUGAUUUUUUACAUUGUUCUGCAAUUCAUGGGCAUACUUGUAAAACCAUUGGCCAAACUCUCUCUCCAGUUUUUCAUCAACAGUUGCAUCUGUGAUAUUUGGUUGUGCCGAUUUUACUUGCUCUACAUAAAUGCUAUACAUACAAAUUAACAAGUAAUGUUUAACAAUAAUGUACAAUAUAAGAGAUAUUACACUAUUAAUAUAACUAACAAUACUUACUCAAUAUAUGUUUUCACCUCUGGACAAUUUAAAAGAAUAUAUGUUUGAGCAGAUUGGCUUUCAUUUUCAGUCAUAUAUCUCGAUUUUCCCUUUCAGAUUGUGCUACCUGUGCAUUUGAAUAUGCUUAAUUUGCUCGGUACAUCAUCAUCGGAAACAAAUUCAUGCAAGUUGCGUGGAACCUUCGAUGUCUGGUCAUUACAUGUGCUUCAAAAUAAUGAGCAGAAAAUGCACCUGCUUCUUCUACCAAGUAAGCAUUGCAUAUUGAACCUUCGACCCUUGCUUUAUUUUUGACAUUGUUCUUUAACUUUCUCAUGUAUCUAGUGUGUGAAAACAGAAAUUAGAAAUGUAUACUAAGUAAAUCAUAAUGCUGAGCAAUAUACGUAAAGAAUUAGUAAGUAUACCUCUCAAAUGGUAUAUCCACUGAUAUUGUACUGGUCCUGCAAUUAAUGCUUCAUAUGCAAGGUGUACUGGUAAAUGUUCCAUUGAAUCAAACAGACUUGGAGGAAAUACUCGUUCAAGCUUACAAAGGAUCACAGGAAUUUGUUCAUUUAACCGUUGCAUGUCCCAAUUAAUAAGUGUAGUUUAAGUAAGUUCUCUGAAGAAAUUGCUAAGCUCUGUUAUUGGUUGCCAAACAUUAUUCGAUAACAAUUCUCUGAAAGCUAUAGGAAGAAUUCGUUGUAUGAAAACAUGACAGUCGUGGCUUUUCAUACUAAAAAGUCUAAGCUUCCGACUAUCAACACACCUCCCUAGAUUGAAAACAUAUCCAUUAGGGAAUUUCAGUGUUUUAAGCCAAUCACACAGUAUCAUCUUUGAUUGCUUGUCCAAACAAUAACUUGCUUUUGGAUAUUUUCCGCUAAUUGGAUCUUUCUUCAAUUCUGGUCUCCUGCAUAUUUCAUUUAAAUCUUCCCUUGAUUUUAUAUUGUCUUUCGUCUUCCUCUCCACAUUCAUCACUGUAUUAAAAAUAUUUUCAAAUACAUUCUUUUCAAUAUGCAUUACAUCAAGAUUGUGGCGAAUCAUAUUUGAUUACCAAUAUGGCAAAUCCCAUAAUAUGCUCCGCUUACGCCAACCAGUUGUCUUUGAAAGCCGACCAUUUAUUUCAUGACUGUCAAUGUCUAUUAUCCGCAUCAACCCAAUUUGCUCAAUUUCUUUUAGCAAGUAUUCCCCAGUUCUAAUUGGCGGCGAUGACUUGGAGACUGUUUGGUUUUUAAUAAAAGAUAUCUUGUUUCGACGGAAAGCAUGGUCGUCAGGCAAAAACUUUCGAUGACUGUCAAACCAUGUUUGUUUACCCCCCCUUUUUAAUGUAAAUGCAUCUGUGUUUUCCAUACAGUAGGGACAUGCAGUGCGUCCUGCUGUGCUCCACCCUGAGAGCAUUGAAUAAGCAGGGAAGUCACUAAUAGUCCAAAGUAAAGCAACAUGCAUAGUAAAAUUGUUCUGCUGGAAAGCAUCAUAAGUAUUCACACUAAUUUUUCAAAGUUCUUUCAAUUCCUUCACUAAUGGUUGCAUGUACACAUCAAGCUUCUCUUUUGGAUUCUUGGGACCAGGUAUGAUAAUUGUCAGGAAUAUGUACUCAUCUUUCAUACACAUACCUGGUGGCAAAUUGUAUGGAGUUAAUAUUACUGGCCAUGAAGAAUACUGUUGCCCAAAUUGACCGAAUGGUUGAAAUCUAUCAGUGCAAAGGCCGAGUCUGACAUUUCGGGCCUCCAUUGCAAAGGUUGGAUGAGUUUGAUUGAAAUGCUUCCAAGCAAGAGCAUUUGAACAAUGAUGCAUCACCCCAUCAUCAUUUGCAUGGUCAUUGUGCCAAGUCAUAUACUUAGCUGUAACACACGAUGUAUAAAGUCUUUGCAAACGUGGUGUAAUGGGAAAGUAAUACAUUUUUUUGUAUGGUAUUAGACUCUUCCCUUUCCCCUUGGUGUGCUUGAGGUGUUUGAACCUUUCAUGGUCACAAAAUUUGCAUCUAGUAAGUUCUUUAUUAUUUUCCUAAUAAAUCAUACAAUCAUUAAAACAACAGUGUAUCUUUUGUACAGGAAGCCCCAAUCCUUGGACUAGUCUCUUUGUUGAGUAAAAGCUGCCCGUCAUGACAUUGUCACUCGGUAACAUCUCCUUCAUAAGUUCACAAAUCUGAUCAAAACACCAUUCUGAGAAAUGAUGUUCUGCCUUCAGAUUUAGUAAACGUGAAACGGCCGAUAACUGAGAGUGAGUUUCACAUUCAGGCCAUAGUUCUUACUUAGAUGCAUUUAACAUUUCAUACAGUUUCUGUGCAGCGGAGUUUGGCAUCUCAUAUGUAUCAUUAUGUAUUAUAUGACAACUUAUUGCAUCCAUGACCAUGUCCUCAAACCGAUUGAAAUUUAGGUGAUUAACACUAUCAGAACCAUAAGACAUGUCUAAUAGUGCAUCACCAGAUCCGUCAUGCACUUCAGUUUCACCGUGCAAAUACCAAGCAAGGUAAUUUUGCACAAAACCAUGCUUCAUUAAAUGAUAUUUAACUGUAUUUUCAUCUUGAAAGCUACAGUUCUGACACUUAAAUCGAUUGCAAGGACAGCGAAUCUGAUCGUCAUUUAAAUAAUAUGGGCAGUUCUUAGCCUUCUCUAUAAAUUCAUUGAUCCCCUCUAAAUAUCUGGGAUUAAGUAAACCAUCUCUGAGACGAGCAUACAUCCAACUUCUUUCAGCAGUCAUAUUAACUACAAUAACGAUGCUGAUAUGAAAACAUAAAACUUAUAAAUCCUAUCUUCGAACAGAGCCUGAAAACCAAUAAUUAAAUUAUGCAUUAUAUCUAAAAUAUGCAGUAAUUAUAUCAAUUUUACUUAAGAGAAUAAUUUAUGCAAAAAAAUAGAAUAAUAAUACAAAAACCUGAAAUACAUGAUAAUUUAAUUACUAAUAUCUUCAUAAUCACGUGUUUAAUUAAUUAUUAGGUCCGCCAAUUUAUUAGAUGCGCCAAAUUAUUUUUGAGAAGUGCACCAAAAUGCACCAGCAGGUGCACUGCAAAAUGCACAUGCUGGUGCACUUGGCGAGUGCAACAGCAGGUGCAAAGGAUAAAUUCAAAAAAAUAUAAAACCUGAAUCAGGUAAAAAAUUUCACAAAAAUCAAGCGGGUGCAGAGGAUAAUUUCACAAAAAAUCAAAAAUUUCAAAAAUAUAAAACAUUUCACAACAAUUUCACAAGAAUGGAGUACAUGCAAGAAAAUAGGGUACCUGUGGACAGUGUCCGUCGAUAAUGGCAAGACCGGAGAGAGAGAGGGCCUCACUCGUGGACCGUGAUGCCGAGAAAGGGCGCACCUGUCGACGGUGGAUGGCGGCAGACCGUGGUUAGCGGCAGCGGUGAAAGACCCAGAGGUUGGACGCAAAUUCGGAUUUCAGAGAUAUUUUGAUUUCCUAAUCACACGAUUUAGGGAUCUCAUUUAGUAUACUGUGUAUUUUGGGUUAAAAUUCACUAACGGAUGAUUAGUCCGUUAGUGAAAAAAACAUUAGAUUAAAAAAUAAUAAAAUCACUUACAGAUUACUAACAGAAAUAAUGUCCGUUAGUAUUUCACUAACGGACUUAUGAUGGAUGGGUACGAGCGUAUUCUUCAAUCCGUUAGUGAAGUCCGUUAGUGAUCAAUUGAAAUCUUGUAGUGGGAGAUAUGGGGUGAAGAUGACGUAUCUCAUAUGUUUAAUUACACAUGUCAAGUUAGUGAUAUGACUGAUAUAAAAAAAUAUGUUAAGAUACUUCGUCGUGUUAAUACGAUAAAUGAGGAUGUUGAUAUUGAUCUCUCUGGAACUGCUCUUGAAUCAAAUAUUGAAUAAUGUGAAGAGCAGAAUUCACUGAAUGAUUAUAAUUUAUCUGAUACUCUUGAAGGGCGAUCGAAUAAUUUAUCUGAUAGAGCAGAGGAUGAUGAUUCAUAGAUAUCUACUGAGGAUGAUGAUGAUGAUGGCGAGGAUAAUGAUUCAUAGAUGUCUACUGAGGAUGAUGAUGAUGGCAAGGAGGAUAGUUUGAGUAGAUAUCAAUACUACAAUACUCAAUUUCUAAUCCUAUUGUGCCUAUUGUUCAUCCUCCCCAUACUCAGAAAUAUAUUUCGAUUUACUACAGUGGAUUCCUAUGAUAAACUAGAAUGUUGUUUCUUUUGGGAUCCAUUUAAAGAGUUUUCAAUUGGGAUGCUAUUUUCUUCAAGAUAUGCAAUGGCUCCGGCUGCAAAAAAAUAUCACCUUAGACGUCAUCAUCAAUUUUGCUACCAUGAAACAAGAGAGAGUACAUAUUCUAUAAAGUAUAAAGACAAAUACAAUGGUUGUGCAUUGAGGCUUCGAGCAUCCAAAAAACAAGAAGAGGAUAUAUAAAAAAUUAUGAGAUAUAAUGGACCACACACAUAUACAAAUCCUCAAUUAUUGAAAAACAAUAGCUAAUUGGAUGAAAAUUUCAUCUAUUCAUUCAUCUUUGCAUUGAUUGAAUAACAGCCUAAUAUAAAAAUUGCAGCCCUACAAGCAGAAGUGUGAGAUAAAUUUGGGUACGAGUUGUCUCAUAAAAAAACAUGGAAAGCAAAGUAUAAGGCAAUUGCAAAGCUUUAUGGGAGUUGAGAUGAAUCACAUAGUUAGUUGCGUAAAUUCAUAACAGCUGUUCAUUAUUUCAAUUGUGAAACAAUAUACAUUAUUAGGAACAACCCACAUUGGAUAGAUGAACAAUUAAAUUUGAUGUGUUGUAUAUUUGACCAAAUGUUUUGGACUUUUAAGCAAUCGAUUAAGGGAUUUAAAUAUUGUCAACCUGCAAUUUCAAUCGAUGAGACAUUACUUUAUGGAAAAUACACCUGGCGUAUAUUGUGUGUAACUGCACUCGAUGGAAAUAAUCAACUUUUUUUUAAAACUUUUGUCAUUGUUAAUAAGAAAGAUGAUGACAAUUAGUCAUGGGUUAUGGACUGCAUAAGGUAUUUGUGACCAAUAGAGAAGACUUAUGUGUAAUUUCAGACCAUCAUGCUGGAAUUAUUAAGACGAUACAGAAAGAUUGGUGGCAACCUCCAGCCGGUCAUCAUCCUUACCAUAUAAGACAUGUAUUGAGCAAUUACAAUAAAACAUUCAAAAAUGCUGCAAUAAAGAAAUCAUUGUGUAGGGCAGAUAGAUGUCAUGUCUUUAAAUACAAUUUUUUUUAUCUAUUUAAUGUCACAUUUUGCUGAUAAUAAUUUUACUUUAAUGAACUUAUAAUUUAUAUCAGCAAAUCAAAAUCAGAAGAGAAAGUUUUAUGAAGCCAUGAACAAUAUUCAGGAGGUGCACCCUGAAUCAUAUGAUUGGACAGUUAAAAUAAAUUUAGCGAAAUGGACGAGAUCACACGAUGGUGGACAAAAAUAUAACAUGAUGACAAUAAACAUUUCUAAAUCCCUAAAUGGCAUGAUGAAAGGAUUUUGAGUGUUGUCUAUAACGACAAUAGUUGAAAAAAUAUUCUUUCAAUAUGUCCAUUAUUUUGAUACAUGACGAACAAUAUUUUUUGAUCAGCAAAGCAAGGAUUUAUUUUCACUCAGACUUGCAGUGAAACUCUUCGUGUUAAUGCAAUUAAAACGAAUGGACAUAGAGUGAGAAGGUUUAAAAGUCAAACAAUGGUUUGUAAAAUAAUUAUUAUUCGGGGUAGGCAAAAACAAGUGGUUAAACUUAUGGAUUAAAUAUGCACAUGUGACAAAUUUCAAGAGACGAGAUACCAUGUUCACAUGCUAUUGCUGCAUGUAUGUCCCAUUCAAUUGACUACAAGCAGUUUGUCUCUGAUUAUUAUAAAUUGGAGUAUAUCAUCCAAUGUUAUGCAUACACAUUCUAUCUUUUUAGACAUCCUAACUAUUGGCCUGCAACAUAUGAACUUCUUCUUGUGCCUGACAUUUCUAGAACAAGGAAGAAGAAACGACCAAAAUCUUCUAGGAUUCAUAAUGAGAUGGAUUGAAAGUCGAGCAAAAUAAAAGAAACGUCUAGAGUCCAUUGUUUAAUAUGUGACAGGGUGGGACAUAAUAAAAAAAUCUGUGUAGGUUGAAAAAUAAAUAGAUAAAUGUUAAUAUUUAUACUUACAGUCACUUAUAUUUUUUAUAAUUAUUAUAAACGUAAUGUAUUUUUUAGUGUUCAUUUAUUUUUAUUGGUAUCUUAUAUUUAUGUUUAAUGGUCGAUCGCUCAUGAUUACAUUUACAGAUUAAUAUGGUCGAUCGCGUUGUUAAAAAGAACAAAUCACACAAGUCAUCCAUAUCAAGAAUAUUUAAGAAUAAUUCAAUUAUAAUAGUCAAAAAGUAUAUAGAUCCUAAUGGCAUAACAUGGUAUGAAAAAAAUAAAUACGUCAGAUUACUCAUGUCUUAAUCGUAGUAAUGCACCACAUAUUUUCAUUGGUUUUCCUUUAAAUUCGUUACAAGAUUUUGGAUAAGUAAUUAUAUCGAGCGUUGAACCUCCAUGGGGAGACUAUGGAAAAUACGUUGUGAGUUAGAAGUAUAUUUUAAUAAAUAUAUUAAAAUAUCUCUAAUGGUUUAAAAAAUUUACUAAUUAAUUUUUUAUUAAUUUUAACAAUUAAAUAUUAUAAAAAGUUUAAAACACUCUCGAUACGGAAAGACUAAUUAUUAACUUUUUUAUAAAAUUAAGAAAUUAAUUAAUAUUUUUUUUUUCAAAUUACAGAAAUUAGAUGAUAAAAUAUUUAAAAAUAAUUAAUUAGUAGAUUUUUUAAAAUGCUAUGAUGGUUUAAUGGAUUUUUUAAAAUUGAGAAGUAAUAGAAUUAAAUAAUAAAUUUUUAUGUAUUUUGCUAUUAUUAAGUAUACAUUUGAUAUGAUAACAAAAAUUAGAGUAGUUGUUAAUGGUAUAUAUUUUUAUGGAGUAAUAAUUAAAUUUAAAAAAAAAAGGUUUAAUAUUAAAAAUGAAUAUAACUGUUAAUCUAUUAAUUUUUUAUGUUUUAUAUAAAAAAAUUAAAAAUAAUUAAAAAUAAUUCAUUUAACUUAAUAAAAUAUCAUUUAGAUGUUAUAUUAUAGAUAAGUAAUGCAAUGAAUAUAUAUUUAUUAUGAAUCAUAUAUUAAUUUAGAGAAAAUUUUAAUAUAAAAUCAAUCAUAAAUAGAUAAAUCCGUAACAAACCGUAUUCUAAGUAGACACCUAUCAUGAUGUUCUUACAAGUGGACAAAUGGUGCGAGAGUAGAGUGCAUGUUAACGGGAAAGUAGCAAUCAAAAGAAAGCACUAGAAUUUAAGUUAUGGAACCCACAAUACGCGUCGUUUUAAAUACAAAUUUUGAAUUUUACAAAAUGGCAAAUAAUGAAAAUGUUGAAUUAAGCGUCAAAGGCCAAACCGAGACUACGUAUUAGAUAAAGUCAAACAAAGUGUGGCGACUGUUGGACAAUUCAACAUUCCUCGCUAUAUAAACGCCUAAUUCUCUACUCAUUCUUCAUCUUCAUCACCAUUUCUAUUCUCUGCCUCUUCACUUCACUCAGCUUCUCUCUCGCUGAUCAGUUUUGUUUUCUCCAGUUUUCCAUCCAUAAUUAAUAAUGGGUUUGAAGGGUUUUGUUGAAGGUGGUAUUGCCUCCAUUGUCGCCGGUGCCUCCACCCACCCUCUUGACCUCAUCAAGGUUCGCAUGCAACUUCAAGGUGAAUCCCACCUCCCCAAUCCAGCUUCCCUUCAAGCCCUCCGUCCUGCCAUCGCCUUCAACACGGUUGCUGCUGGUGCCGGUAAUAUUUCACUACCUGUAGAAAUUGCUCCUCCGCCAGCUCGCGUUGGACCCAUUUCUAUCGGUGUUCGUAUCAUUCAAUCUGAAGGUGCUGCAGCCCUUUUCUCUGGUGUAUCUGCCACUAUACUUCGCCAGACCUUGUACUCAACCACCCGUAUGGGUCUUUACGAUGUUCUCAAACACAAGUGGACAGAUCAAGACACCGGAAGCAUGCCUCUUCCACGCAAGAUUCUUGCCGGCCUUAUCUCCGGCGGUAUCGGAGCCUCCGUUGGGAACCCCGCUGACGUGGCUAUGGUCCGAAUGCAGGCUGAUGGACGUCUCCCAAUUGACCAACGUCGCAACUACAAGAGUGUGUUUGAUGCUCUGACUCAAAUGUCAAAGCAAGAAGGAAUUGCUAGCCUCUGGCGUGGCUCAAGUCUAACAGUGAACCGUGCAAUGAUCGUCACUGCAUCACAGCUCGCAUCCUAUGAUCAGAUCAAGGAGAUGAUAUUGGAGAAGGGAGUGAUGAGCGAUGGAAUUGGGA